AGAGUGCGUAAUAGCUCACUGGUCAAGUGAUCGUGCGCCGACAAUGUAGCGGGGCUCAAGCACACCGCCGAAGCCGCGGACCCAUGACAUGGUUCCCUUCAUCGUGCGCCUUGUGCGUGUGGUGGCAGGGGUUGUGGGUGGUAGGGGAGCGUCCUGCACCGGGGGAAGCCUGUGGGUGACUGCUGGUGGACGGUGCGGGAGUGAGAAUGCAGGCAUGAGUAGCGAUACUAGGGUGAGAAGCCCUAGCGCCGAAUGACCAAGGGUUCCAGGGCCAGGCUAGUCCGCCCUGGGUGAGUCGGGACCUAAGGCGAGGCCGACAGGCGUAGUCGAUGGAUGACGGGUUGAUAUUCCCGUACCGGCGAAGCACCGCCCAUGCUGACGCGCGGGUGCUAACCCACGCCCAGCCGCCAUACAGGCCGCAUGUGUCAGGUUCGCCUGACGGUGUGGUUGUGGUGGUGGGGUCUGGGGAUCCUCCGUGCAGGUAGGCAAGCGUGUUAACAGGGGUGACGCACAGUGGUAGCCCGGCGGACCUGAUGGCUUGGUCCGUUCAAGCGCGCAGCCCGUCCUCCAGGUAAAUCCGGGGGACUGUCUUUGAUGACGGGGGUGAGGCGUGAUGGUGACCUCACACUGGUGGGGGAUAACAGGGUGAUCCUGGGGUGCCGAGAAAAGCCUCGACGCGAUGGUGCCAGCCGCCCGUACCCUAAACCGACACAGGUGGUCGGGCAGAGUAUGCCUAGGCGCACGAGUGAAUCAUGGUUAAGGAACUCGGCAAAAUGCCCCCGUAACUUCGGGAGAAGGGGGGCCUGAUCCCUGAAGCCCCGUGCGGGCUAGGGGGGAGGGUCGCAGAGGCCAGGGGGAAGCGACUGUUUACUAAAAACACAGGUCCGUGCGAAGCCGUAAGGCGAUGUAUACGGACUGACGCCUGCCCGGUGCUGGAAGGUUAAGAGGAACCAUCAACCCCCUUGUGGGGUGAAGUGGUGAAUUUAAGCCCCAGUAAACGGCGGUGGUAACUAUAACCAUCCUAAGGUAGCGAAAUUCCUUGUCGGGUAAGUUCCGACCUGCACGAAUGGCGUAACGACUUCCCCGCUGUCUCAACCAUGAGCUCGGCGAAAUUGCAGUACGAGUAAAGAUGCUCGUUUCGCGCAGAAGGACGGAAAGACCCCGGGACCUUUACUACAGCUUGGUAUUGGCGCCCGCUAUAGCUUGUGCAGGAUAGGUGGGAGACUGUGAAGCCGUUACGCCAGUGGCGGUGGAGUCGUCCUUGAAAUACCACUCUGGUUAUGGCGUGCGCCUGAACCUGGGCCCGUGAUCCGGGUUAGGGACAGUGCCUGGUGGGUAGUUUAACUGGGGCGGUUGCCUCCUAAAGUGUAACGGAGGCGCUCAAAGGUUCCCUCAGCCUGGUCGGUAACCAGGUGUUGAGUGUAAGUGCACAAGGGAGCUUGACUGUGAGACUGACGGGUCGAGCAGGUACGAAAGUAGGAACUAGUGAUCCGGCGAUCCCGUGUGGGUGGGUCGUCGCUCAACGGAUAAAAGGUACCCCGGGGAUAACAGGCUGAUCCUGCCCAAGAGUCCAUAUCGACGGCAUGGUUUGGCACCUCGAUGUCGGCUCGUCGCAUCCUGGGGCUGGAGUAGGUCCCAAGGGUUGGGCUGUUCGCCCAUUAAAGCGGCACGCGAGCUGGGUUUAGAACGUCGUGAGACAGUUCGGUCUCUAUCCGCCGCGCGCGUGGAAACUUGAACAAGGCUGUCCCUAGUACGAGAGGACCGGGAUGGACGUACCUCUAGUGUGCCAGUUGUCACGCCGGUGGCAUGGCUGGUUGGCUAUGUGCGGGAGGGAUAACCGCUGAAAGCAUCUAAGCGGGAAGCCUGUUGUGAGAUGAGGUUUCU
Molecule: ribosomal RNA, 1884 nt
Filed under: human metagenome
Description: bacterial LSU rRNA
Rfam family: Bacterial large subunit ribosomal RNA
Source: RNAcentral